GACGAACGCUGGCGGCGUGCUUAACACAUGCAAGUCGAGCGGAAAGGCUCCUUCGGGGGUACUCGAGCGGCGAACGGGUGAGUAACACGUGAGUAACCUGUCCUUGGCUUUGGGAUAACCCUCGGAAACGGGGGCUAAUACCGGAUAUGACCUUGYCCUGCAUGGGGUGGGGUGGAAAGUUUUUUCGGCUAGGGGUGGGCUCGCGGCCUAUCAGCUUGUUGGUGGGGUGAUGGCCUACCAAGGCGACGACGGGUAGCCGGCCUGAGAGGGCGACCGGCCACACUGGGACUGAGACACGGCCCAGACUCCUACGGGAGGCAGCAGUGGGGAAUCUUGCACAAUGGGCGGAAGCCUGAUGCAGCGACGCCGCGUGAGGGAUGACGGCCUUCGGGUUGUAAACCUCUUUCAGCAGGGACGAAGCGUGAG
RNAcentral lists this ribosomal RNA (426 nucleotides) under Micromonosporaceae bacterium Ellin7127. Its description in RNAcentral is "bacterial SSU rRNA". It matches the Rfam family "Bacterial small subunit ribosomal RNA", at positions 28 to 456 of the family's 1533-position model. Lineage: Bacteria; Bacillati; Actinomycetota; Actinomycetes; Micromonosporales; Micromonosporaceae. The record is from RNAcentral.